This 254-nucleotide ribosomal RNA is filed under the name uncultured bacterium. RNAcentral describes it as "partial 16S ribosomal RNA". It matches the Rfam family "Bacterial small subunit ribosomal RNA", at positions 524 to 776 of the family's 1533-position model. The record is from RNAcentral.
UACGGGGGGAGCAAGCGUUGUUCGGAUUUACUGGGCGUAAAGGGCGCGUAGGCGGUCGUGACAAGUCACUUGUGAAAUCUCUGGGCUUAACUCGGAACGGUCAAGUGAUACUGUCGGACUAGAGUACAGAAGGGGCAACUGGAAUUCUCGGUGUAGCGGUGAAAUGCGCAGAUAUCAGGAGGAACACCGGUGGCGAAGGCGGGUCUCUGGGCCGUAACUGACGCUGAGGAGCGAAAGCAUGGGGAGCGAACAGG